UCUAACGUAAAAUCGGUUCAAAGGUGUCAAUUAAUUGAACUUUUAGGAGGUGCUAAAAUUACUUAAGCCAAAACGUGCCAAUCGCUCGAAAUUCAGAUAAAAAUCCACGAUGCGAUUCAAUUUCUCCACCCACUCGGCGGCGCCCACCACAACAACAACCACGCAGGCAAAUGGCGGCGAUAAGGCAGCCCAACCGCUGAAGAAGGCCAUCGAAGCGGAUCCCGAUUCCCUGGACAGUGUGAUCAGCAAUCCGCAAUCCUAUCCCAUAACCAUAGUGCCCAAUCGGCCGACCAGCUUCUAUGGCCUAUCCCCAAAUGGCAAGGCGAGCGGCUUUCCGCGAUCCCAACCGAGCUGCAGAUCUCGCAAUUUCCGGCCUGGCAGCAUGAGGAGAGUUCGCCGGCGAGCGGUUUUCAAGAAUGGAGACUGCAAUGUGGUGCAGAAGCACCUCCAAAGACGCAGGGUUCGCUUCCUGCAGGAUAUGUACACCACCAUGGUGGAUUGGCAGUGGCGGUGGACCCUCCUGGCCUUCGCCCUCAGCUUCAUCCUCUCAUGGCUCUUCUUCGCGCUCAUCUGGUGGCUAAUAGUCUACACACACGGAGAUUUGGAGGAGCCUCACAUGCCCGAUAACCAAGAGGAAUCUGGCUGGGCGCCCUGUGUCUCUGCCAUCGAUGGCUUCACUUCCUGCUUUCUGUUCUCCAUCGAAACGCAGCACACAAUUGGCUACGGAGUGAGGACCACUUCCCCCGAGUGUCCAGAGGCCAUCUUCAUGAUGUGCUUCCAGUCCAUCUACGGCGUGAUGUCAUCCGCCUUUAUGGCCGGCAUUGUUUUUGCCAAGAUGACGAGGGCUAAGCAAAGGGCUCAGACUCUGUUGUUCUCCAAACACGCGGUUAUUUGCCAGCGGGAUGGCUGCCUUUCCCUGAUGUUCCGGGUGGGCGACAUGCGGAAAUCCCACAUCAUUGGAGCCGGCGUGAGGGCCCAGUUGAUAAGGACGAAGAGCACCAAGGAGGGCGAGGUGAUGACACAGUACUUCACAGAACUGGAGAUCGGCACCGAUGACUCCGGCUCCGAUUUGUUCUUCAUCUGGCCCAUGGUCAUCGAGCACAAGAUCGACGAGAAUUCACCGCUGUACAAUCUAAAUGCCACAGAUAUGCUGCAGGACAAAUUUGAAAUCGUGGUGAUCCUAGAGGGCACCGUGGAGUCCACUGGCCAGAGCACUCAGGCCAGAUCCAGCUACAUAAACACCGAGAUCCUGUGGGGCCAUCGCUUCGAUCCGGUGGUGCUGUACAACAAGGAUCUGCAGGCCUACGAGAUAGACUAUGGUCGUUUCAACGAAACCACUCAGGUGGACACUCCACUGUGCAGUGCCCGGGAGUUGAACGAGAUCUACAAGAUACAGGAGGGAUUCCGCACACCAGCAGAAACCACCUUCACCAUGCGUCAACUGUCCCACAAUCAUUCCGAUCAGGCCUCCUAGGAGGGUCCAAUGUUUCGUCCUCCGUGUUGCUAUAGUUUGUAAUCGUUUUUGUCCCAUCUUCCCCCUCGCUCCAAUCCAAGUGCUCCUGCAGUUCCGGCUAUCAGACACCUGGAAGGCAGAGCCGCCUGCGCUGGCAGCUCUCGGUGCCCUUGUAGUGCUGCUCCCCGACUAUCCACACACUUGGGAGCACCCAAGUUCCCCUACGAAAAUAAGUUAAUAAACGCUUUAGUUUGAGUCUACA
This is an RNA transcript of Drosophila suzukii, 1715 nucleotides long. It is a transcript of the gene named Inwardly rectifying potassium channel 2, with no coding region annotated. The record is from RefSeq and is a predicted model, not a curated record. NCBI's taxonomy places the organism in Eukaryota, Metazoa, Arthropoda, Insecta, Diptera, Drosophilidae.